This is a long non-coding RNA of Piliocolobus tephrosceles (Ugandan red Colobus), 1857 nucleotides long. NCBI's taxonomy places the organism in Eukaryota, Metazoa, Chordata, Mammalia, Primates, Cercopithecidae. The record is from Ensembl.
AUAUAAAAUUUAUUACUUAUAAAAAUUUUUAUUUUUAUGAAAAAAUUAAAAUUAUUACAUAACUAAGUUAAAUUUGUUACAUAACUUAAUUAAAUUUGUUACAUAACUUAAUUAAAUUUGUUACAUAACUUAAUUAAAUUUGUUACAUAACUUAAUUAAAUUUGUUACAUAACUUAAUUAAUUUUAUUAUAUAAAAAAAAUUAAUUUUAUUAUAUAACUAAAAUAUAUUUUUUUCUGGAUAAACCUCUAUCCUUCUUCAAAAAAAAAAAAAAAAAAAAAAAAAAAAAAAAAAAAAAAAAAAAAAGAAAGAAGAUAACCAUGCAACCACAAGUAGAUCAACCGAAAAAAACGGAAACCGAAGAUAAUAAGGCUCUUAGCAUUGUGAGAAGAGAUGAAAGGCUAAUUAGACAGAUACAGUUUGCAUAUAAAAACAGAUAUAUUAUUAGUAUUGAUGGUGUUAGUCGAAGUGGUGUUAUAAAAGGAGCAAAGCACUACUUAGAUUUUUUAAAUUGUAACCGUUUGGUUGAUUAUAGAACUUCUUGUGUUACGUUACAGUUAGAAAUAAAAAUAAAAAGCAUUGACCCAUCCGCAAAAACACAACAAUGUAAAGACACAUAUACGUACUUAAAUGUUAAUCCAAUUGAUAUAAUGGCAAAAGCUCAGAAUAAGUUACACUAUGAAUAUUCAUAUGUACAACAAGAAGAUUUUAGUUUUUUAGAUAAAUUAGGAAUCUUUGAGAGAGCUGAUUAUCAUGUGGAAAAGUCACGUUUAUUGAAAGGUAAGAUUGUUCAAUGUGGACAGUACAGAUAUAGAAUAGUUAAAGAAAUAAGAAAAGCUAUAUAUGGGACUGUAUAUUUAUGUGAAGCGUUGGAUAGUUAUGGAAAUAGUUUUUCACCAAUUCGAAAAGCUAUUAAAGUUAUAUCGAAAGAAGCAGUUGAAAUAUGGAGAUUCAAAUCACCAGAAGAUCCAUUAUCGGAAUAUUUUUUUAGAGAUGGCAUGAGUGGUCAUAGUAAUAUAUUAAGUUUAGAUUGUAUAUUUGAUGAUGAUACUUAUAUUUAUAUGAUUAUGCCUUUUGCUUGUCAUGGUGAUAUGACUGAUAUAGCGAAAAGAAAAAAUACACCACUUACUGAAGAUGAAUGUAGGUAUAUGUUUCUUCAAAUUUUGUUAGGUUUACGUUUUUUACAUGCAAAAAAUUUGGCUUUAAAAGAUUUAUCUUUGGAAAAUGUAUUAUUGUUUGAAAAUGAAGAAAAUGGAUUAGUUUAUCCAGUUAUAAAUGAUCCAGGUCAGGCAACUUAUUUUCAUUUAGAUGGAAAAGGAGAAGUUAAGUUAGAGCCAUAUCAUAAAAUUUUUGGUAAGAUUAAUAGACCACCUGAGAUUAAUCAACAGAUAGCUUUUGAUCCAGUAAAAGUGGAUAUGCAUAAUAUUGGAUAUAUGUUGUAUUAUAGUUUAACAAAACAUUAUUUAUUUACUUAUGCAGCACCAGAUGAUAUAGAAUGGAAUUUACUUUUUAAUAAAAAUUAUGUAGAAUUAUUAAAACGAACAAAUGGAACACAUUUAUCAAAUGAAGUAUUAGAUUUAAUUUUUCAUUUAGUAGAACCGAAUUUUAAAAAAAGGUAUGAUUUACAUAAUGCUUUAAAUCAUAUUUGGUUUAAAGGACUUCUUUCACCUGUACAUAAUUAUAACAUAUAUUUAGGUUCUGAACAUUCUGUCACAUAUUCUGAUGAAAAUAGAGUGAAAUUUUUAUCCGAAGUAGAACUUUAUACUAGAAGUAAUAAUAUUAUUUUUGAAAAAAAUUCGAAUGUUGAAUUUAUGAUUACAGAAAGAUUUUCUUUUACACCUAUUAUGAAUAAAGAUGUG